RNAcentral lists this ribosomal RNA (1385 nucleotides) under uncultured bacterium. RNAcentral describes it as "bacterial SSU rRNA". It matches the Rfam family "Bacterial small subunit ribosomal RNA", at positions 28 to 1381 of the family's 1533-position model. The record is from RNAcentral.
GACGAGCGGUGGCGGCGUGCCUAAUACAUGCAAGUCGAGCGAGCGGAGCUAACAGAUUUGCUUCGGUAAUGACGUUAGGAAAGCGAGCGGCGGAUGGGUGAGUAACACGUGGGGAACCUGCCCCAUAGUCUGGGAUACCACUUGGAAACAGGUGCUAAUACCGGAUAAGAAAGCAGAUCGCAUGAUCAGCUUUUAAAAGGCGGCGUAAGCUGUCGCUAUGGGAUGGCCCCGCGGUGCAUUAGCUAGUUGGUAAGGUAAAGGCUUACCAAGGCGAUGAUGCAUAGCCGAGUUGAGAGACUGAUCGGCCACAUUGGGACUGAGACACGGCCCAAACUCCUACGGGAGGCAGCAGUAGGGAAUCUUCCACAAUGGACGCAAGUCUGAUGGAGCAACGCCGCGUGAGUGAAGAAGGUUUUCGGAUCGUAAAGCUCUGUUGUUGGUGAAGAAGGAUAGAGGUAGUAACUGGCCUUUAUUUGACGGUAAUCAACCAGAAAGUCACGGCUAACUACGUGCCAGCAGCCGCGGUAAUACGUAGGUGGCAAGCGUUGUCCGGAUUUAUUGGGCGUAAAGCGAGCGCAGGCGGAAGAAUAAGUCUGAUGUGAAAGCCCUCGGCUUAACCGAGGAACUGCAUCGGAAACUGUUUUUCUUGAGUGCAGAAGAGGAGAGUGGAACUCCAUGUGUAGCGGUGGAAUGCGUAGAUAUAUGGAAGAACACCAGUGGCGAAGGCGGCUCUCUGGUCUGCAACUGACGCUGAGGCUCGAAAGCAUGGGUAGCGAACAGGAUUAGAUACCCUGGUAGUCCAUGCCGUAAACGAUGAGUGCUAAGUGUUGGGAGGUUUCCGCCUCUCAGUGCUGCAGCUAACGCAUUAAGCACUCCGCCUGGGGAGUACGACCGCAAGGUUGAAACUCAAAGGAAUUGACGGGGGCCCGCACAAGCGGUGGAGCAUGUGGUUUAAUUCGAAGCAACGCGAAGAACCUUACCAGGUCUUGACAUCUAGUGCCAUUUGUAGAGAUACAAAGUUCCCUUCGGGGACGCUAAGACAGGUGGUGCAUGGCUGUCGUCAGCUCGUGUCGUGAGAUGUUGGGUUAAGUCCCGCAACGAGCGCAACCCUUGUUAUUAGUUGCCAGCAUUAAGUUGGGCACUCUAAUGAGACUGCCGGUGACAAACCGGAGGAAGGUGGGGAUGACGUCAAGUCAUCAUGCCCCUUAUGACCUGGGCUACACACGUGCUACAAUGGGCAGUACAACGAGAAGCGAGCCUGCGAAGGCAAGCGAAUCUCUGAAAGCUGUUCUCAGUUCGGACUGCAGUCUGCAACUCGACUGCACGAAGCUGGAAUCGCUAGUAAUCGCGGAUCAGCACGCCGCGGUGAAUACGUUCCCGGGCCU